UGCUGGUGGCCAUUUCUUCUCUGCUGGUAUGGCAGAGAAAGAGCAUGGAGCUAAUAGACCUGCAGCUGCUGCGGCGCAAUGGGGACUACUGGGAAGCAGGGCCGGGGUACCUGAUGAGCCUGCUGCGCGGCCUACGAUUAGGGGAGUGCUCUCCGCCUGGGGGCGUUCGGAUAGUGCGCGCCAGCUGGAGCCCACGGGUGGCCUGCAGUGAGGGGGCCAGUGAGGCUGGGUCAUGCGUGCGGGCCGCCCUCAUUGCCCCAAAGUUGCAUCCUCAGUGCAUGUGUUUGGUGUAUGCGUGCUUGUGUUUCAGCAAAAAGUGGGUGAGCAUUGUGUUGGAGGCUGGUUGUGUUGUUGCUGUUGAUUGCGGGCAGGUACAAGUGAACCGGAGUGUUAUGGGAGUAAACUCUAGGAUCCCUAGAGGUGUUUCCAGGACGGAGGUGAACGUUACCGCACCGCUGCGCGUGGCGGGGAGGUGCAUGGGCUUCGUUGUGUCUAGGUGUCUUGUGCUCGUGUCAUAGACGGUCGUCUGUUUUGCUAUUGUUCUUGGCAGGCUUCUCUUCCUCCUUCCUACAGACUUCGUGUCUCUUUGCGAUUCCUUUGACGUUUCUUAAAUUGGCGGCGGUUUCGCUUGAAUCUGUUCUCUAAGGUUACCAUCCCUGCAAGCUGACUAUGCCCGCGUAUAAACCCGAAUGCACUCAGCAGUUCAAACCCUAUGCGGAGCCGCCGACUCCGGUGGCCAUAUCCUCGGGGGUUGCUACAACCCACAACUCAGCGCCAUGUACAUUAAACGCCACAACAUAGCCGUCCAAACAAUCGCUCGCACCUUGUCCCGCGGCAAACACGGCGGCGGAUACAUGGUCAUGGACGCUACAUCACGAGACCACCUACCCGACUACGCCGACAGCACCCGCCUGCCAGAAUGUUAACUUGGGCGACCUCGGCGGGAGCAAACAACGUGGCGGGGGCAGGCCCCGCCUGCACGCCCGCCUCUCUCCCCGGUAGCGGGGGUGUACCAUCACCCCCCGCUCCCUUAACCUACACUACCACCUAGGUGGGGUGCAACUACUUCUAUUCUAUUUCUGUGAGCCCGUCAUAAAAACAUGCAUGGUCUGAGAUGGCUGCCCAAGUGCCCAGGCUGCAGACUUCCCUGCCCCUUGCUUACCGGCUAGGACUCACUGUGCGCGGAGUCACACGGACUUUGCCCGCGGGAGGGUUUGCAGCAAAGUCGGGGUUGGUGGAGUCAUGUUGGGCCCUGAUAGCAUGUGAUGGCUCGGCGUCUUCGGGUGCUGGGACUGUCCCCUCUGUAACAUCCGCAUUCUUACCGGGCCCUGCUACUUUCAGCUUCAGUCCACGCGGCGGCCUGCCUCUUCAUGCAUCCAUGCUCAUGCGCGCCAGGCUGAUCUAGCCUGUCAUUGGCGACUCGAAAGACAAAGGCACAGGAUGCACGUUGCAAAGGCCUGACGGGGGCGCUGCCGGGCCGUUACUGUGGAUGGGGUGUGUGCGUGUCUGUCGGGGCUGGUGGGGGUUGCACGCCGGCUCGCAGUUUCCGGAGGCCAUUGACCAGACUGCUUCACCUCCUCAAAAACUUUGGCUAUGAGCUUGGGGAUGUGGUCAUGCAUCAUAGCCAUAGCGGCGCGAAUCCCAACGGUGAUAGUGCGUAUGCCCGCACACCGUGCACACAUUCCGACCAUCCCAACUGCUACUCACCUCAUCGCUGUCUUCACCCAGCGUCACCAUACAAACAGACAUUCCGGCUGCCUGUUCUGCAGCUCCAUGGCAGCUGCGACCCCUCCGCCCAUGGGCCUCCCAUGGCCACGGCUGUCACAGGCCAAAUUGCACCCUUGCCGCUGGUCGCGGCCAGGUUGCCAAGAAAGUCCGAGGCCGUUAUGCUGCAGAGGCUUGAAAUACUGCCAAUGUAUGAUUGUGUCUUGUCUCGCGGCCCAUGCUCGCGGCGCUGGUCGCCGAGAAAAGGCAGUUGUGGCGCAAUGAAUAUAACCUUCUUUAUGUCUCGUAUAACCUAUGCAACUGUUGGCCGAAACAGACCAAAUUGACCACAUUGACAAUUGGCCCCGAAUUGGCCUCGC
Molecule: long non-coding RNA, 2084 nt
Filed under: Chlamydomonas reinhardtii
Lineage: Eukaryota; Viridiplantae; Chlorophyta; Chlorophyceae; Chlamydomonadales; Chlamydomonadaceae
Description: long non-coding RNA (CREI_LNC000091)
Source: RNAcentral